UGAAUACGAGACGCUAAGGCGUCGAAGUAGUGUAUGUCAUACUUCCAAGAAAAGCUUGCACUGUCAUAGAUAAAAAACGCCUGUACCAUAACCGACACAGGUGGGUAGGUAGAGUAUACUAAGGGGCGCGAGAUAACUCUCUCUAAGGAACUCGGCAAAAUAACCCCGUAACUUCGGGAGAAGGAGUGCCUUAUUCGUAAGGUUGCAAUAACAAGAUCCAAGCAACUGUUUAUCAAAAACACAGGUCUCCGCUAAGUCGUAAGACGAUGUAUGGGGGCUGACGCCUGCCCAGUGCCAGAAGGUUAAAGAAGUUGGUUAGCAAUUGCGAAGCUGAUAACUGAAGCCCUGGUGAACGGCGGCCGUAACAAUAACGGUCCUAAGGUAGCGAAAUUCCUUGUCGGGUAAGUUCCGACCCGCACGAAAGGCGUAAUGAUUUGGAUACUGUCUCGGAGAGGGGCUCGGUGAAAUAGACUUGUCUGUGAAGAUGCGGACUACCUGCACCAGGACAGAAAGACCCUAUGAAGCUUUACUGUAACUUGAAAUUGAAAUUGGACUUUAUUCGCGCAGUAUAGGUGGGAGGCGUUGAUUAUAAUCUUGUGGGAUUAUUGGAGCCAUCAGUGAGAUACCACUCUUGUAAUGUUAGAUUUCUAACUUUGAAUCAUUAUCUGGUCAAAGAACAGUUUCAGGCGGGCAGUUUGACUGGGGCGGUCGCCUCCUAAACGGUAACGGAGGCGUACAAAGGUUUCCUCUGAACGGUUAGAAAUCGUAUCUAGAGUGUAAAGGCAUAAGGAAGCUUGACUGUGAGACCUACAAGUCGAGCAGGGACGAAAGUCGGUCUUAGUGAUCUGACGGUACUGAGUGGAAAGGCCGUCACUCAACGGAUAAAAGUUACUCUAGGAUAACAGGCUGAUCUCCCCCAAGAGUUCACAUCGACGGGGAGGUUUGGCACCUCGAUGUCGGCUCAUCGCAUCCUGGGGCGGUAGUACGUCCCAAGGGUUGGGCUGUUCGCCCAUGAAAGCGGUACGCGAGCUGGGUUCAGAACGUCGUGAGACAGUUCGGUCCAUAUCCGGCGUAGGCGUUAGAAUAUUGAGAGGAGCCUUCUUUAGUACGAGAGGACCGAGAAGGACAUACCUCUGGUGUACCAGUUAUCGUGCCAACGGUAAACGCUGGGUAGCUAUGUAUGGAGUGGAUAACCGCUGAAAGCAUCUAAGUGGGAAGCCCACCUCAAGAUAAGUAUUCUC
This 1241-nucleotide ribosomal RNA is filed under the name metagenome. RNAcentral describes it as "bacterial LSU rRNA". It matches the Rfam family "Bacterial large subunit ribosomal RNA", at positions 1564 to 2815 of the family's 2925-position model. The record is from RNAcentral.